AUGGAUGAGUAUUUCAGACGGGACAAGGCGUAUUUUCCUAUGCACGUUAAUGAUAAUCAUUGGAUAACCAUAGUGAUGCACACCGUCAAGGAGGAGUUUCAAGUUCUUGACUCAAAUUCUAAAGGCACAAUUAGCCAAAGAAUUCGCAAUAUGAUUGCCACCCUGAGGGCUGAAAUUUCUAAGGAUAUUAUGGAGGCCAACUCUAUUCUUGAAUCAAAAAAAUUUCCAGAUGUCUCAUCGUGGCCAAUUAAUGAGUAUAAAAUACUGAUACAACAUGAUGGAGUGUCUUGUGGACUUUUUGUGAUGUGGUGCAUAAAAUACUGGGACGGAGAUCGCUGGACACAUGAAUUUGACCAGCAAGAGAUUAAUGAGUCAAGGCCACGUAUUGUCGCGGAAAUCAUUUUUUCUGAGGUCAACAGAUUA
RNAcentral lists this ribosomal RNA (423 nucleotides) under Triticum aestivum (bread wheat). Its description in RNAcentral is "partial small subunit ribosomal RNA". Lineage: Eukaryota; Viridiplantae; Streptophyta; Magnoliopsida; Poales; Poaceae. The record is from RNAcentral.